Molecule: ribosomal RNA, 402 nt
Filed under: uncultured microorganism
Description: bacterial SSU rRNA
Rfam family: Bacterial small subunit ribosomal RNA
Source: RNAcentral
GAGUUUGAUCUUGGCUCAGAUUGAACGCUGGCGGCAUGCCUUACACAUGCAAGUCGAACGGCAGCAUGAUCUAGCUUGCUAGAUUGAUGGCGAGUGGCGAACGGGUGAGUAAUACAUCGGAACGUGCCCUGUAGUGGGGGAUAACUAGUCGAAAGAUUAGCUAAUACCGCAUACGACCUGAGGGUGAAAGUGGGGGACCGCAAGGCCUCAUGCUAUAGGAGCGGCCGAUGUCUGAUUAGCUAGUUGGUGGGGUAAAGGCCCACCAAGGCGACGAUCAGUAGCUGGUCUGAGAGGACGAUCAGCCACACUGGGACUGAGACACGGCCCAGACUCCUACGGGAGGCAGCAGUGGGGAAUUUUGGACAAUGGGCGAAAGCCUGAUCCAGCAAUGCCGCGUGUGUG